CCUACGGUGAGCUGCAGUGAGGAAUAUUGGUCAAUGGACGGAAGUCUGAACCAGCCAUGCCGCGUGCAGGAAGACGGCUCUAUGAGUUGUAAACUGCUUUUGUACAAGGGUAAACCUGAAUACGUGUAUUCAGCUGAAAGUACUGUACGAAUAAGGAUCGGCUAACUCCGUGCCAGCAGUCGCGGUAAUACGGAGGAUCCAAGCGUUAUCCGGAUUUAUUGGGUUUAACGGGUGCGUAGGCGGAUUGAUAAGUUAGAGGUGAACUGUCCGAGCUUAACUCGGGAACUGCCUCUAAUACUGGUGAUCUAGAGAGUAGAUGCGGUAGGCGGAAUGUAUGGUGUAGCGGUGAAAUGCUUAGAGAUCAUACAGAACACCGAUUGCGAAGGCAGCUUACCAAUCUAUAUCUGACGUUGAGGCACGAAAGCGUGGGGAGCAAACAGGAUUAGAUACCCUGGUAGUC
Molecule: ribosomal RNA, 460 nt
Filed under: uncultured bacterium
Lineage: Bacteria
Description: partial 16S ribosomal RNA
Rfam family: Bacterial small subunit ribosomal RNA
Source: RNAcentral